GACGAACGCUGGCAGUGUGCUUCACACAUGCAAGUCGAGCGGUAUUUUAGUAGUAGCUUGCUAUUACUAAAGUUAGCGGCGGACGGGUGAGUAAUGCAUAGGAAUCUGCCUCAAGGGCGGGGGACAACGGAUCGAAAGAUCCGCUAACUACCCCAUAUGCGAGUAAUCGUGAAAGGAGUAAUCCGCCUAGAGAUGAGCCU
Molecule: ribosomal RNA, 200 nt
Filed under: uncultured bacterium
Lineage: Bacteria
Description: partial 16S ribosomal RNA
Rfam family: Bacterial small subunit ribosomal RNA
Source: RNAcentral